Molecule: long non-coding RNA, 734 nt
Organism: Homo sapiens (human)
Lineage: Eukaryota; Metazoa; Chordata; Mammalia; Primates; Hominidae
Exons: 2
Source: RefSeq, a predicted model, not a curated record
CCUUUCUAAAGAAGCAUGACCCACGGUCACUGGAGGUCCUUUAUUCUGAUCGAAUGUGACCAAUUUUAUGGGGCAGGAGGGGGACACCUCCCAAGAGACUCCCUCUGGUGUUGACGGGGGAGGGACUGAUGCAGGGAGCCCUGACCUCUCUCUCAAGCUCCAGACUCACCAACCAUCCCCCACCCCUGGACAUGGCCAGCCAGAUGUCCCUCAAGCACCUCCAUCUCAACAGAGAAGAACAAAAAAACAAGCCUAAGAGGCAGGAGGAAAGUGGAGUGCCAGGGAUGCUGGCAGAAGACAGAAUGCCAAGGAGGAGACAAUGGUCAACGACGCCAAUGAUUGUGGAGAGGACACAGGUGAAGAGAAUGAAGAAGCAUCUGCUGUCCUUGGCAAUUAGGAGAGAGCAGUGCUGGGCAGGAACAGUAGACCUGCUGGGGGAAGUUGAUCAACCGCAUGGUGACACAUUUGCUACUUUGUCAUUUUCUUUUUUUCACAUUUUGAAGUCAAACACUAUUUGGGAGAGUCUCUGACACAUUUCUAGAGCUUUGAAAAACUCACAGAUUCUAUGCUGUCAUCCCGUUGGGCCUAAUGGGUAAAUGGCUCUAGAGAGUGACAGAUUGCUGACAGCAGGGUUUGAGUGCUGGAUCCAGCUAUGCCUGAAAUUCUGGGGCUGAAUCUACUCUUGGACUGUUCAUUGUACAUGAUCCAAUAAAUUCCAUUCUUUUUUGGAUUAA